This 253-nucleotide ribosomal RNA is filed under the name uncultured bacterium. RNAcentral describes it as "partial 16S ribosomal RNA". It matches the Rfam family "Bacterial small subunit ribosomal RNA", at positions 524 to 776 of the family's 1533-position model. The record is from RNAcentral.
UACAGAGGGCCCAAGCGUUGUUCGGAAUUACUGGGCGUAAAGGGCGCGUAGGCGGCCUGUUAAGUCGGACGUGAAAUCCCCGGGCUCAACCCGGGAACUGCGUCCGAUACUGGCAGGCUUGAAUCCGGGAGAGGGAUGCGGAAUUCCAGGUGUAGCGGUGAAAUGCGUAGAUAUCUGGAGGAACACCGGUGGCGAAGGCGGCAUCCUGGACCGGUAUUGACGCUGAGGCGCGAAAGCCAGGGGAGCAAACGGG